AGUGAACGCUGGCGGUAGGCCUAACACAUGCAAGUCGAACGGCAGCACAGUAAGAGCUUGCUCUUACGGGUGGCGAGUGGCGGACGGGUGAGGAAUACAUCGGAAUCUACUUUUUCGUGGGGGAUAACGUAGGGAAACUUACGCUAAUACCGCAUACGACCUACGGGUGAAAGCAGGGGAUCUUCGGACCUUGCGCGAUUGAAUGAGCCGAUGUCGGAUUAGCUAGUUGGCGGGGCAAAGGCCCACCACGGCGACGAUCCGUAGCUGGUCUGAGAGGGUGAUCAGCCACACGGGAACUGAGAAACGGUCCAGACUCCUACGGGAGGCAGCGGUGGGGAAUAUUGGACAAUGGGGGCGAGCCUGAUCCAGCCAUACCGCGUGGGUGAAGAAGGCCUUCGGGUUGUAAAGCCCUUUUGUUGGGAAAGAAAAGCAGCAGGUUAAUACCCCGCUGUUCUGACGGUACCCAAAGAAUAAGCACCGGCUAACUUCGUG
Molecule: ribosomal RNA, 492 nt
Filed under: uncultured bacterium
Lineage: Bacteria
Description: partial 16S ribosomal RNA
Rfam family: Bacterial small subunit ribosomal RNA
Source: RNAcentral